AGAGUUUGAUCCUGGCUCAGGAUGAACGCUGGCGGUCUGCUUAACACAUGCAAGUCGAACGGGAAUCUUCGGAUUCUAGUGGCGGACGGGUGAGUAACGCGUGAGAAUCUGCCUUCAGGACGGGGAUAACAGUUGGAAACGACUGCUAAGACCGGAUGUGCCGAGAGGUGAAAUAUUUAUAGCCUGAAGAUGAGCUCGCGUCCGAUUAGCUAGUUGGUAAGGUAAAAGCUUACCAAGGCGACGAUCGGUAGCUGGUCUGAGAGGACGAUCAGCCACACUGGGACUGAGACACGGCCCAGACUCCUACGGGAGGCAGCAGUGGGGAAUUUUCCGCAAUGGGCGAAAGCCUGACGGAGCAAGACCGCGUGGGGGAGGAAGGUUCUUGGAUUGUAAACCCCUUUUCUCAGGGAAGAACACAAUGACGGUACCUGAGGAAUCAGCAUCGGCUAACUCCGUGCCAGCAGCCGCGGUAAUACGGAGGAUGCAAGCGUUAUCCGGAAUAAUUGGGCGUGAAGCGUCCGUAGGUGGCUGUUCAAGUCUGCCGUUAAAGACCGGGGCUUAACCCUGGAAAGGCGGUGGAAACCGAACGGCUAGAGUGCAGUAGGGGUAGAGGGAAUUCCCAGUGUAGCGGUGAAAUGCGUAGAGAUUGGGAAGAACACCGGUGGCGAAAGCGCUCUGCUGGACUGCAACUGACACUGAGGGACGAAAGCUAGGGGAGCGAAUGGGAUUAGAUACCCUAGUAGUCC
RNAcentral lists this ribosomal RNA (746 nucleotides) under uncultured bacterium. RNAcentral's name for it is "bacterial SSU rRNA". It matches the Rfam family "Bacterial small subunit ribosomal RNA", at positions 8 to 796 of the family's 1533-position model. The record is from RNAcentral.